Molecule: ribosomal RNA, 373 nt
Filed under: uncultured bacterium
Lineage: Bacteria
Description: bacterial SSU rRNA
Rfam family: Bacterial small subunit ribosomal RNA
Source: RNAcentral
AUACGGAGGAUGCAAGCGUUAUCCGGAUUUAUUGGGUUUAAAGGGUGCGUAGGCGGACUUGUAAGUCAGUGGUGAAAUCCUGCAGCUUAACUGUAGCAUUGCCAUUGAAACUGUUAGUCUUGAGUUAGGUUGAGGUAGGCGGAAUGUGUAAUGUAGCGGUGAAAUGCUUAGAUAUUACACAGAACACCGAUUGCGUAGGCAGCUUACUGGACCUUAACUGACGCUGAGGCACGAAAGCGUGGGGAGCGAACAGGAUUAGAUACCCUGGUAGUCCACGCCGUAAACUAUGAUUACUCGUUGUUGGCAAUACAUCGUCAGCGACCAAGCGAAAGCGAUAAGUAAUCCACCUGGGGAGUACGCUCGCAAGAGUGAA